Molecule: ribosomal RNA, 1486 nt
Filed under: metagenome
Description: bacterial SSU rRNA
Rfam family: Bacterial small subunit ribosomal RNA
Source: RNAcentral
AGAGUUUGAUCAUGGCUCAGGAUGAACGCUAGCUACAGGCUUAACACAUGCAAGUCGAGGGGCAGCAUGGUCUUAGCUUGCUAAGGCCGAUGGCGACCGGCGCACGGGUGAGUAACACGUAUCCAACCUGCCGUCUACUCUUGGACAGCCUUCUGAAAGGAAGAUUAAUACAAGAUGGCAUCAUGAGUCCACAUGUUCACAUGAUUAAAGGUAUUCCGGUAGACGAUGGGGAUGCGUUCCAUUAGAUAGUAGGCGGGGUAACGGCCCACCUAGUCUUCGAUGGAUAGGGGUUCUGAGAGGAAGGUCCCCCACAUUGGAACUGAGACACGGUCCAAACUCCUACGGGAGGCAGCAGUGAGGAAUAUUGGUCAAUGGGCGAGAGCCUGAACCAGCCAAGUAGCGUGAAGGAUGACUGCCCUAUGGGUUGUAAACUUCUUUUAUAAAGGAAUAAAGUCGGGUAUGCAUACCCGUUUGCAUGUACUUUAUGAAUAAGGAUCGGCUAACUCCGUGCCAGCAGCCGCGGUAAUACGGAGGAUCCGAGCGUUAUCCGGAUUUAUUGGGUUUAAAGGGAGCGUAGAUGGAUGUUUAAGUCAGUUGUGAAAGUUUGCGGCUCAACCGUAAAAUUGCAGUUGAUACUGGAUAUCUUGAGUGCAGUUGAGGCAGGCGGAAUUCGUGGUGUAGCGGUGAAAUGCUUAGAUAUCACGAAGAACUCCGAUUGCGAAGGCAGCCUGCUAAGCUGCAACUGACAUUGAGGCUCGAAAGUGUGGGUAUCAAACAGGAUUAGAUACCCUGGUAGUCCACACGGUAAACGAUGAAUACUCGCUGUUUGCGAUAUACUGCAAGCGGCCAAGCGAAAGCGUUAAGUAUUCCACCUGGGGAGUACGCCGGCAACGGUGAAACUCAAAGGAAUUGACGGGGGCCCGCACAAGCGGAGGAACAUGUGGUUUAAUUCGAUGAUACGCGAGGAACCUUACCCGGGCUUAAAUUGCAGAUGAAUUACGGUGAAAGCCGUAAGCCGCAAGGCAUCUGUGAAGGUGCUGCAUGGUUGUCGUCAGCUCGUGCCGUGAGGUGUCGGCUUAAGUGCCAUAACGAGCGCAACCCUUGUUGUCAGUUACUAACAGGUUCUGCUGAGGACUCUGACAAGACUGCCAUCGUAAGAUGUGAGGAAGGUGGGGAUGACGUCAAAUCAGCACGGCCCUUACGUCCGGGGCUACACACGUGUUACAAUGGGGGGUACAGAGGGCCGCUACCACGCGAGUGGAUGCCAAUCCCAAAAACCUCUCUCAGUUCGGACUGGAGUCUGCAACCCGACUCCACGAAGCUGGAUUCGCUAGUAAUCGCGCAUCAGCCACGGCGCGGUGAAUACGUUCCCGGGCCUUGUACACACCGCCUGUCAAGCCAUGGGAGCCGGGGGUACCUGAAGUGCGUAACCGCGAGGAGCGCCCUAGGGUAAAACUGGUGACUGGGGCUAAGUCGUAACAAGGUA